Molecule: ribosomal RNA, 348 nt
Filed under: Triticum aestivum (bread wheat)
Lineage: Eukaryota; Viridiplantae; Streptophyta; Magnoliopsida; Poales; Poaceae
Description: partial small subunit ribosomal RNA
Source: RNAcentral
AUGCAAGUUAGAGUCCAAAACAAGGGCAAAAGUGUUUGGAAAAGUAGAUAUGAUGGAGACGUAUCAGUAGACCAGGCGCGGAAGUUCAUCCCGGCCUGGCAACGAGGUUUGAUUCAGAGGCCAGGAAGACUUGUGUUGGUCAAGUCCGUGAUCUCGGCAAGACCGAUCCACCAACUUCUGGUUCUUGAUGCACCGAACUGGGUCUUCGAGGACAUCGAAAAAUGGAUGCGCGCAUUUUUUUGGGCAGGGAAGGAGAAGGUGAACGGCGGCCAAUGCUUGGUGGCCUGGGAGACAGUGUGCAGGCCAACUUGUUUUGGCGAAUUGGGGGUGAAGUGUUGGAGAACGUAG